This 274-nucleotide ribosomal RNA is filed under the name uncultured bacterium. RNAcentral describes it as "partial 16S ribosomal RNA". It matches the Rfam family "Bacterial small subunit ribosomal RNA", at positions 523 to 796 of the family's 1533-position model. The record is from RNAcentral.
AUACGGAGGGUGCAAGCGUUACUCGGAAUCACUGGGCGUAAAGCGCGCGCAGGCGGCUUGAUAAGUUGGAUGUGAAAGCCUACGGCUCAACCGUAGAACUGCAUCCAAAACUGUCAGGCUAGAGUGGGGGAGAGGAAGAUGGAAUUAGUUGUGUAGGGGUAAAAUCCGUAGAGAUAACUAGGAAUACCAAAAGCGAAGGCCAUCUUCUGGAACACUACUGACGCUGAGGCGCGAAGGCGUGGGGAGCAAACAGGAUUAGAAACCCUAGUAGUCC